Molecule: long non-coding RNA, 1337 nt
Organism: Mercenaria mercenaria
Lineage: Eukaryota; Metazoa; Mollusca; Bivalvia; Venerida; Veneridae
Exons: 3
Source: RefSeq, a predicted model, not a curated record
CAAAAGUACAGUACUGCUGUUGGAAGAAGAGUAUCUAUGGUCCACCAUCACUUCAAGCAUCAUGGCUAUGGAUAAAAGAAGGUUUCAUUACAUAUGGACAGUUAUAUUGGACAAAAUAAGAAAAGUGUUCUAAUAAGUUCUGGAAUGUGGCUGGUUAUGAUGGGUCUACAUGAUUGACUUGGAGUACAACCUGAUGGAGGCCGGGCUUGCAGAUUUCAGUCCUGAACAUGUUUAGAAUGUCUUCUGCAUGACCUAGUAUAGUAUGCUUGAAGGAUUAUAUCUUCAACAAAGAGACGGAGAUUAAUAUUUUAGACAGUGGAUUGACAUGACAGGCAAAUUCUCCAACCGCUGGAUGCCAGUCGACAGUGGCACCUGUAUAAUGAAAUAGCGCCCCAACAGCAAUGUAUGCUCAAAACCAGCAGUGUCAAAGCCAUUAAAAUUGAGAACUCAAGAAUGAAUGGAAAAAAGUGUUUAACAUUUAAAUUAAUACAGAGAAAGAGCUCAGCUCUUUUGGUAUUUUCUGAAAUUUUAAUUAAUUUGGAAGUGUUUUUGAUUUUUUAAAGAUGUAUUUGACCCAAAUUCAAUAUAUUUACAUAUGAACAAAUGCUACAUAUAGUUAUGUAAACAUUGAAUUAACAAGUUUAUGGUGUCAGCAGUACUAUGCAUUGGUUAAAUAUAGACACACUGUAUGUAUGUAAGGCUGAACAAGGUAAAAAUGUGAAAUUCCUCUAAGACACUGGAAGAUUUUUCAACAAUCUACUGUUUAGUACUGCAUGACAUAAAAUUAUGAAUGGAGCUGAACAUACACAGUUGAUUUAUACAUAAGCAAAGUUAAAUAUAUUUAAAGAUGAGUUUCUACAUUUGAAGUAAUUACCUAAAUAUUAAAUAUUUUAGUGAAGAUAUAUUUUAUGCAAUUAUAUAAGUUGAAAAAAGCUACCCUCCAGGAAGAAUAUUUUGAAAUGAUACUUUUACUUGAAAAUUUAUGUGAAAAAUGAAGGAAGUAGAUGUUAAAAUGAAUUCGUUUUUUUAUAAAAAAAAUGUUGUUGCCAUGGAAACAGAACUUGAGUAUUAAGUUUAUCUGCUUUCAUACCAGAGUAAUAUGACUUUUAAUUAUAAUUAUGUAAACAAUUUAAUGUUAUAUAAUCAUCACUGAUACUUUUAAUUUUCAAUUGACACUGUCAUUUAGCAAUGCAUCUUACAUUUGAAGUUGAAUGACACAUUACAAAUAUUAGAUAUUUAUGGAAUUGCUUUUAGAUAUUUUUGAGAUGAAUAUAAAUCAGAAAAAUCACAAAUUCUUGUUCUUCUAGAGAACUUAUAUAUAUUUUAUAAACUUACAU